AUUGAACGCUGGCGGCAUGCCUUACACAUGCAAGUCGAACGGCAGUACGGGAGCAAUCCUGGUGGCGAGUGGCGAACGGGUGAGUAAUAUAUCGGAACGUGCCCGGUCGUGGGGGAUAACGUAGCGAAAGCUACGCUAAUACCGCAUACGAUCUACGGAUGAAAGCGGGGGAUCGCAAGACCUCGCGCGAUUGGAGCGGCCGAUAUCAGAUUAGGUAGUUGGUGAGGUAAAGGCUCACCAAGCCGACGAUCUGUAGCUGGUCUGAGAGGACGACCAGCCACACUGGGACUGAGACACGGCCCAGACUCCUACGGGAGGCAGCAGUGGGGAAUUUUGGACAAUGGGCGCAGACCUGAUCCAGCAAUGCCGCGUGCAGGAUGAAGGCC
Molecule: ribosomal RNA, 386 nt
Filed under: uncultured bacterium
Lineage: Bacteria
Description: bacterial SSU rRNA
Rfam family: Bacterial small subunit ribosomal RNA
Source: RNAcentral